GUGCAGUUUUCUGAGCUGAUGUUUGCCUUUACGUGUAACUACUUUUGCAAAUGGAAAAUUGGAAACUGUACAAAAUAUGGAUCUCUGUACUGUACUGGAAUCUUGGUGCUACAGCUCAGGACUGAUGGAGAAAAUGCUGGGAAUGCACGUUUAAGGAAUAGAUUUAACAUAACAGUAGCAUAGGCUUACUGCACUAAAAUGAUUGGUCCGCACCAUUGAAAAGGAAGGUAGAAAUAUCCCUUAAAGCUACUUCUGCAAUGAACUGUUUUAAAAUAAAUAGUGCAGUAUAUCGCAGUGGUACAAUAUUUUCUACUGAACUGGUAGAAAGUUAGUAUGUUAAACAGCAACUACUGACAGGAAACAUCUUGGUGGAUUGAGUAACUUUGGGCUGGAAAUACUAAAGUAAUUUGCUUAAGAGCAUUCUGAACCUACAGUGUGAGUUUUCAACAAUCAUUGGAAAGCUGGGAAAAAUUCAGGAGACUCUGUGGGUAAGGGGAAAUGUUAAAAUUGUUUCGAUGUUUAGGAGAAGGUAAGUGGGAAGACUGAGAGCUAGGCCAGCCAAUGUAACUGCACUCUGCAACCUAUGCUCUGAGUCAACUUGUCAGAGAUUUUAUUUGGGAUGCUCUGGGGAGGAAGUGUGGUUGGGAUAAUAGUGGUUUUUUACUCUCUCUGUGUAGAGCAGGAAGGGAGAAACUUGCCACAGACUCUUCUAGAGGAGGUUGAAGCAUCAACAUGCUUCAAAGGUAUCCUUGCUGCUUCCUGUUGGAAAGGGAUUUCAGACUGUGAAUUUCAGUUUGAGACUGAAGCAUCUGUCCAAUGAUCCAUGAAGUCUGUCUGCAGGAGAACAAGAAUGAGCAGCUCAGAAAUCAAGGAGUUCAAAAUUUCCACUGUCUGUGUCAUGGCAGUGACUUGAGAUGCAUCCAUAAGAUUUCAAGUCUAUAAAUCUAUACAGUUUCAUUACCUUCUCAGUUUUUGUCUAUGUUAUUUAGCUGCAGUUUUUGUUAUGGACAUAUCUCUGACCAAAUUCUUAAGCCUGAUGACA
This 1042-nucleotide long non-coding RNA is filed under the name Gallus gallus (chicken). RNAcentral describes it as "long non-coding RNA NONGGAT004228". The record is from RNAcentral. Lineage: Eukaryota; Metazoa; Chordata; Aves; Galliformes; Phasianidae.